UACGUAGGGUGCGAGCGUUGUCCGGAAUUAUUGGGCGUAAAGAGCUCGUAGGCGGUGUGUCACGUCGGCCGUGAAAACUUGCAGCUUAACUGUGGGCGUGCGGUCGAUACGGGCAUCACUGGAGUUCGGCAGGGGAGACUGGAAUUCCUGGUGUAGCGGUGAAAUGCGCAGAUAUCAGGAGGAACACCGGUGGCGAAGGCGGGUCUCUGGGCCGAUACUGACGCUGAGGAGCGAAAGCGUGGGGAGCAAACAGG
RNAcentral lists this ribosomal RNA (254 nucleotides) under uncultured bacterium. RNAcentral's name for it is "partial 16S ribosomal RNA". It matches the Rfam family "Bacterial small subunit ribosomal RNA", at positions 524 to 776 of the family's 1533-position model. The record is from RNAcentral.